CAUACACCAUGCAGUGGCAUGUACACAUGCUAGGCAUCAUUGGAGUGCCAACACAUAGAUGGCACACACAUGUAGGUAGUGGCAUGUGAACACGCUAGGCAUCAUUGGAGUGCCAGGCAGGUACGUGUUGCAGGUAGAUGGCACAUGCAUGUAGGUAGUGGCAUGUGAACACGCUAGGCGUCAUUGGAGUGCCAGGCAGGUGCGUGUUGCAGGUCGAUGGCACAUGCGUGCAGGCAGUGGCAUGUGCACACGCUAGGCAUCAUUGGAGUGCCAGGCAGGUGCGUGUUACAGGUAGAUGGCACACACAUGUAGGUAGUGGCGUGUGCACACGCUAGGCGUCAUUGGAGUGCCAGGCAGGUGCAUGUUGCAGGUAGAUGGCACACACAUGUAGGUAGUGGCAUGUGAACACGCUAGGCGUCACUGGAGUGCCAGGCAGGUGCGUGUUGCAGGUAGAUGGCACACACAUGUAGGUAGUGGCAUGUGAACAUGCUCGGCGUCAUUGGAGUGCCAGGCAGGUGCGUGUUGCAGGUAGACGGCACACGCGUGCAGGCAGUGCCGGGUCAGUGUGUGUUGCAGGUCGAUGGCACACAUGCAGGUGACAGGUGUGCACAUGCUAGGCAUCGGCAUUGCAUAAGCACAUGGUCUGUUUUCUCGUUCCGUCGUACCAGCAGCCCUUGAGAGGUAGUGAUCUAAAAAUGAGGACCUGGUGGGGGCGGAGGCCAGGUGACUUGGGGAUCAGUUUAGGGGGGCGGAUCAGAGCCAAGGUACUGGGCCUAAAUCAUGGCUCUGCCCGAGGGUGACCCUGGACAAGUCACUUUCAUUCUCUGCCUUUGUUUGUUUCCUCAUCCGUGCAGUGGAGUCAGUGAGACGGCUUUGUAUUGCGAGCGAGGAUUAAAUGAGCUGCCGAUGGGAAGUGUGCAGGGCAGGGCCUGGCACCACGAGCCCGUGUGCGCACGGGCUGUGGUCUUUAUUGCCUGGGCCAUGGUCAUUUGUUUCCCACACAAUCCCACACUCAGGGUGUGGUCUACAGCCCUAGGCUGGUUUGCAGACUCUCGGUUCCUGGUCCGUGAUGAGCUGUGCGUAGAGACUUAGGGUAAAUGUUUAGCAACCUUGAGAAUAGCUUACCCUUGCUGGGACUCAGCGAGCACACGGCUUCAGGUGCUGUUGGAUCACGCGGUGAGUGCCAUGUGGCGUGGGUCACAGGACCACAGGACUGCAGACAAGAGGGUGGCAAGAUCAGAGGGGGCUUGCGUCACUGCUGCCCACCUCUGGACAGCCAGCCUCCUGUGGGGAGCCUCAGCCAGCAGCAGCAGGGGGCAUGGACAGCAUGUUGUGGGCCAGUACGUGGCGACUCCAGGCGGUGAGGUCCCGUGAUGGAGACUUUUAUUAAUGAGCAGUUGUCUCUGUUUCACUCCUGUGACGGGUGCUUUUCUCGUCUCUCCCCUGGCAGGUGUGGUUCAGGCGGCCUUCCACUCAGGAAGGCACAGGAUCCCUUUCUACCUCUUAGACUGAUGGGGACUGGAAGCUGGAAACUGUCGGUGGCAGGUGGGUGUGCCACCCCUGCUGCACGGCUGUCCUGAGCCACCAGCUCCUGUUUCUGCAGGGCCCGCGGGGAAGGUCCAGGAUGCUCACGGCAGUGCCGCAGGAGGGGUGUAGAGGGUGGAGAGCAGGGCAGGCCGCCAGUGCGACCGUGAUGUGUCUUGAAGCCCAGCGGUGCUCAGGGGAAGGUAAAAAAUGCGGCGAGAUGGGUAAGGCAGAGCUGGUAUGUAAAUGAAUGCAGAAACAGUGCCCUGGGUUGCACGAGCAGAAAGGAGCAGACAGACAGAAGAGGAGGGGCGCCCAUAGGCGCAGGAAGGGAAAUGAGAAGUAAAAGGAAACACGAGAGGGAGCGGAGAAGACACGCUGCUAUCUUUGAGGCAGGGCCCUCGGCUGUCACUCGGCUCCUGGCACCGUGGCGUCUGUGUGUCUGGGCAGAGCUGGCAACCUCAGCGUGGCCUCAGUAGGGUAAUCCGCGGUGUCAGAGGCUGAGAAAGGCUGGGGGUGGGCAGCGUGGUUCAUGGCACAGGUGGCACACUAGGGACAUGGAUGAUUUUAAUGAUCUAGGUGAUUGCAGGAGCAACAGGUGACCUGGUCUUUGAUUAGUUUACUUUUACUUUUUUUUUUAUUUUUUUUAUUUACUUGAGAGGCAGACAGAGGAAGAGAUAGAGAUGAACAGGUGGAAGAGUGAGCUUCUGUCUGGUGGUUCACUCUCCAAAUGCUCACAACAACUGGGGCUGAAGCCUGGAGCUCGGAACUCGAUCCAGGUCUCCCGCGUGCGAUGGCUAAGAUCCAGUUGUCUGAGCUGUCGCUGCUGCUGCCUCCCAGGACAUUAGGAGGUGGAGUUAGGAGCCAGAGCUCGUCCCCAGGCCGAGAAUGCUCUUUUAUUAUUGUCCUGAAUGUCUCUGGAUUUUUAUCUACUUUAAAGGCAGCACGACAGAGUGAGAGCGAGAGAGCGAGCAAGAGAGAGAGAGAGAAUCUUCUAUCUGCUGGUUCACUCCCAGAUGCCUGUAAUAGCCAGGGCUGAGCCAAGCUGAAGUCAGGAGCCAAGAACUCUAUUUGGGUCUGGCAUGUGGCCCAAGCACUUGAGCCAUUGUCUCCUGCCUCCUAGGAUGGGAAGUGGAGUAGCCAGGACUUGAACCAGGCACUCUGACAUGUGACACGGGCAUCCCAAGUGGCAGCUAAGCCUGCCGGGCUGAACGCCUGCCCCAAACCCAGGCACCUUAACCGCGAGGCCAAAUACCCGCCCGUAGUGCGCAUGUGCGUCAGUGAUGCAUACUCUUACCCUGGCCCUAGUGGAAAUUCUGGGUGGUCACCCCUCCAGGCAGUCAGUUAGGAAAACAUGUGCUCAGUUCCUUGUGCUGUGGACUGCAGGUCAUGGGACACGUAGGACGGGGACACAGGAGGCAAAAUUUGCUUUAGGAAGGGGAAAUCCCAUGUGGCAUCAGGAGCAGCGUUCUUUCGGGGAGACAGCGCGCUCCUGCUGGUGGAGCGGCGGGGGGUGCCUCCACCAGUUCCUCGUCCCCGCCACCUGCGGCCCUUGCAGCUCUAACUGAGCUGGGCUUCGGACUUUAGAUUUGGGGCUGGCAAUUCAAAGCAAACGAAACAAAAUAUUACAAUAGGGUGAGUGUCCCUCACAAGAAACACAGGAGACCAGAAGUGUUCCAGAUUCCGGGACAUCGGUGUAGACCCUACCCGUGAGGCAUCCCUGCUCUGCAAAUCCAGAAUCUGCAGCCUCCGAAACCCAAGACCCUCUGAGCGUCGGGUCGGGGCUCUGCAGCUUCUGGAUUUUGCACCUUACUGGAUUGUGGGUUUUCAGAGUAGGGACCCUCAGCCUGUAUGCGAUUAACCAAGUUAUUGUAGAGCAUUUAGAAAACGCUGGGGACAAAACAGAGCAGCAGUUGUAGGUAACGUUAUUAACCAGAGAUAGCCACUGGAGGCUUUCUCUCUCUCUUUUUUUGAUCAUAGCAUGAAAAGGGAGGUGGCUCUUUGGGGUAGCAGCUGAGACGCGGCGUGGGACACCCAAAUCCCAUCCUGGAGUUGCCUGGGUUUAAGUGCUUGCCCUGUGCCUGAUUCCAGCUUCCUGCUACUGUGCAUCCCGGGAGGCAGCAGUGGUGGUGGAAGGCUUGGGUCCCGGCCACUCAUGGGAGAAUGAGAUUGAGCUCCUGGCUCCUGGCUUCAGCCUGGCCCAGCUCUGGCUGUUGCAGGCAUUUGUAUAGGAAGACGGGACAGCUCUGAUCAGUGAACCCGUGGAUGAGAUCUCUCUCUACCCCCUGUCUGUCUCUGUCUCUGCCUUUCCAACAGAUAAGAAAAAUAAAUAGAUUUAGAGAGUAAAAAGGUGGUCUUUUUUUUUUUUUUUAAAAAAAAGACUUAUUUAUUUUUUUGAAAUGCAGAGUUACAGAGAGAGAGAGAGAGAUCAAUCGAUCGAUCGAUCAAUCUUCCAUCUGCUGGUUCACUGCCCAAAUGGCUACAACUACUGCGGCUAGGCCAGGCCAAAACCAGGAGCCAGGAGCUUCUUCCAGGUCUCCCACAUGGGUACAGGGGCCCGAGCACUUGUGCCAUUUUCCUCUGCUUUUCCCAGGUGCAUUAGCAGGGUGUCGGAUUGGAAGUGGAGCAGCCGGGACUCAAGCCAGUGCCCAUAUGGGAUGCUGGUGCUGUAGGUCCUGGCUUAACCUGCUGUGCUACAGUGCCAGCCCCCAGGGGGUUGUUUUUAAUGAGUGCCCUGUCAAGAUUAAUGUCCCCAGUUCCCCUUGACCAGAGAUCAGAGCUGUCCCGUCUUCCUGUACAAAGGGCACCGCAGUGCAGCCCUGCAUUCACAGGUCUCUGUCCACCUCUUUGUCUCUUCACACUGAGACCGGGCCAGGGGUGCUGUGGGCAUCAGAGGUGUGGACGUGGCUGAGGCUGUGCAUACAAGUUGCCCGGCUGCCCCGUGCUGAUCCUGAGUCGCUGCCGGGUUUCUCAAGGUGUGCUCUUCGCAUGGCUCCUUCAGAACCCCCUGGGCAGCUUCUAGAAGGCGACUCUGGGGUCGGGUCCCCAGGAGGUCGUUUGCACAGAGGCCUUUGGGAAGUGGCACAUGGUGUCUGUACCUGCCCGGGAAGGGACGCAGACAGGCCACACCUGUUCCCUCGCACCUGAGGCAGCGCCGCCACUUGAGGCCUGGUCCAGGGACAGCCAGGCCGGGAGACCGUAGCUGGGAGAUGCGGCUCUGCGGGCCUCUUUCCUCAGACGGAAGUGGGGGCUUCGCGGUGGCUGUCUGGCAUGUGUCUUACCAGUGUCCCCAGGGGAGACGGCCCUCACAGCUGGCUUUGGGGCGAACGUCUGGAGAAGUGGGUCAGGACAGAGAGCUCCUCGCUCUGCCCCUCCCUAGGGAGCCAGCUGUUGGCCCGGGCCCACCCAGGCCCUGGCAUCUCUCCAGGUCGGCAGAGGAGCUGUCUGUGUGCCUCGGCUGGUGCCUAGGUUUGAGGGUGUCAGGUGGUGUGGGGGCGCCACUCAGCCAACGUGGGGAGGACGCAGAGGACGCCCCAGGAUGCCUCUGGUGCUGCCGCUCGUAGCUGCACAGUCUCUGUCCUGGAGGCCAAGGCCUCACUGUGUGGGGCGUGCUGCUUCCUUGCACUGGGCUGGGGAGGCCAGGUGAGUCGCCCAGGGGCAGGCAGCCGAGGAGGCGCUGUCUGGCAGGUGCAAGCCGCGGGGCUGCUCUGCACGGCUGCUCACGCCUGCUCUGCCUGCCCUCUGUCUCCUGGGGUGUGCUCCUUGGCGUAUUCACACAGCCGUGCUGUGGCGGUGUCAGCGAGUGAACGGCCCACACGAGGAGCCCACGGCAGUGAGCUGGGCCCUGAUGUGCCGGGCCCAUCCAAGGAAGGGAGCGUGGGCUGAGGGCCAGCCUGCUGAGGGAGGUAGCUUCAGAGCCGGGCUUUGAGGGCUGGGUUGAAGUCCGUCAGGUGCCAGGGAGACGCCUUCUGGGCAGGGGGAGCAGGAGCCCAUGGGUGAGGCGGGAAGAGCCAGGCCUGCUGGGUGGCUGUGGACACGGGGGUGAAUGGAAGGUGGCCUGGCUGGGAAGGGUUGGAGGAGCUGAGCUGAGGGAGGAAGGAGUGCCCGUGCCGCGCUGGCCUCCGUGUGUGUUUCCCUUGCUUCUGGGCCGUGUGGCUCCCACAGGUCGCCGGCUAUCCGGGAGCCUUGGCUGUGUCCCCCGUAUGACGCAGGCAAUGGGGCAGCUUGAAAAGGAGUUUGUGUUGGUGAUGUGAGCCACAUGAGUACGUGGCAGGGAACUGGGCGUGCAGUCAGAUGCGCAGUAAGCACUUGUCUCCUUCUUUGAAUGUUGGGGUGGGACCGGGUGACUUUCCCGUGCUGAGCCACAGGGAGCCCGGAAGGCUGUGGCGUGUGGAGUUGAUAAGCUAAUGCCCCUUUGCUGUCAUGCCUGAAGAUGACGGUGGUGGUCUCGUGGGGGUACUCUGGGGGUGUAGGGUGGUGGGCGGGAUGCAUGGGCCAAGGCCAGGCUGAGGGGAAGCGUCUUGCCCAUCACAGGCAGCCUGCUGGGGCGGGGCUGCUGCUGUGCACUGCUGGUGCUCUGGGCACAGGUUCUGGAGGGAGAGGCCAAGGCUUGAGCUGUGGUCUGGUGAGGCCUAGCCGCUCCAAAGGGAUCCUGGGUAACCGGGCACUAGCUGAGUGGGAGUGGGAUGCAUGGCAGGAAGCCGGGCCACGAUGGCCGUCGUGCAGCAUCAUGGUGGCCAUAGCCAGCGUUUAUCCAGCUCUUACUGUGUGUGCCUGGAAAGUGUUCGUGGUUCAUCUCUUUUUUUUUUUUUUUUUGGACAGGCAGAGUGGACAGUGAGAGAGAGACAGAGAGAAAGAGAGAAAGGUCUUCCUUUUGCCGUUGGUUCACCCUCCAAUGGCUGCUGCGGCCGGCGCAUUGUGCUGAUCUGAAGCCAGGAGCCAGGUGCUUCUCCUGGUCUCCCAUGUGGGUGCAGGGCCCAAGGACUUGGGCCAUCCUCUACUGCACUCCCGGGCCACAGCAGAGGGCUGGCCUGAAAGAGGGGCAACUGGGACAGAGUCCGGCACCCUGACUGGGACUAGAACCCGGUGUGCUGGCGCUGCAAGGCGGAGGAUUAGCCUAGUGAGCCGCGGCGCCGGCCUUGUGGUUCAUCUCAACCGGACCUCCCAGCAACCCUGAGAUCCAGGUGCUUGCAAGGACACGCGUGAGAGCCCAUGGUGCGGCAGAAAUGACCUCACCAUGUCUUAGUGUCGCUGCUCCGGCCUGGGGGACCACGGAGACCUCAGACAUCAGCCUGCGGGUGGGCACGGGGGGCAGCUUGGCCAGGAAGUCGUCAGCAGGUGUGGAGGAGCAGCCCCUGCUGGCUUCCCCUGCCCGCUCAGUAGCCAGCAGCUGUCCCGGAGCUGCACACCUCUGUGCUGCAUCUGGGGAGGGGGCGAUCCCAGGACCCACUCGUGCCAGGGCUGGCCUUGAGCCAGAGCCCUUCCUCCUGGGGUCUUCCCGUGACCUUGCCCCGCAUCGCACCGCCGCUUCCUCCCCUGCCCCACCUGCCGGCUGGGCCUCCCAGACGUGCACAGGCCUGUCGGGAGCCAGGCCUUGGAGGGGCAGGGGCCACUUCCUCUGGAGCAUGGGCAAGCUCAGGCUUGAAGGCGCAGAUCUGGGGCCCAGCCUCGUGACUCGUGCCCUCAGGAGCUGCUCCUGCGCGGGUGCCAGGUGGUGUCCUCCGGGGGUCGGAUUAAAAGAUAACUCUUGGCAGGAAGCAGCAGGCCUCUGCUGGCCUUACUAAGCAGGCCUGGGCGGCUCAGCGCGCCAUCUCCUGGGCCCUGCUCCUGGCUGCCUCUGCCUCUCCUGCUCCCCCGUGCUGUCCCUCUGCUGCACGCCCGCCCUGGAGCCCAGGCAGGCAGCCCCGCCCCGUGCGCCUCACCUUGUCACCAACCUCCCUUCGCUUCCCUUUCCCUCCCGCCUUCUUCGUGAAGAGCAAAGUCCCAGAGAAUCGCAGCCUCGAGGUGUGGUGGGAGGUGGAGAUGCGGAAGCGGAGAGCAGGGCCCCCUCGCUGGGCCUGAGUGUGGCGCUGGGUGAGUCGAGUGUCAUUCGUCACCAGCAAUGACUGCUGGGAGGAAGGUGUUUGUCUGAGGCCAGGGCUUCCUGGCAGCAGUGCUGGCCGUGAGUUGGCCCGGAUGGCCCCCGUUCCUGGACUGUGCGUGGGACAUGUGUGGGUCUCUGGGAGGCCCACAGGGCUGUGCUGGCCUUGGGCAGUGGGGACGGAGAGGGCGGCCCUGUGGGAAUGCCUGCCACCCUCGGGUAGCCCAAAAUGCUGUGACGUGUUUUCAGACUUCUUCCCCAUGUCUCCGUCUUGGUGUAGACCCUCACUUUGGGAAUCAUAUACCUUCAUUGUUUGACCCUGCCAUUAGGAAGCGGUACCAUAGAUUCUCUGUCUCUCUCUCUCUCUCUUUUAAAGUUGCUCUUUAUGUAUUUUCCUAAACAUUAAUUUUCUAAGAGAGAAGAUUCUUUUAGGAAUAUUUUCCAGGGCCUGCACUGUGGCUCAGCAGGUUAAUGCUCUGGCCUGAAGUGCUAGCAUCUCAUAUGGGCACCGGUUCGAGACCCAGCUGCUCCACUUCCGAUCCAGCUCUCUGCUAUGGCCUGGGAUAGCAGUAGAAGAUGAUCCAAGUCCUUGGGCUCCUGCAUCCAUGUGGGAGACCCAGAAG
This is a non-coding RNA of Oryctolagus cuniculus (rabbit), 8226 nucleotides long. NCBI's taxonomy places the organism in Eukaryota, Metazoa, Chordata, Mammalia, Lagomorpha, Leporidae. The record is from RefSeq and is a predicted model, not a curated record.